ACUGGGGUGGAGAAGCGGUAUCUCGUUAGUUUCAUAAGCUAAAGUUCGACAGUUCAAUCCUGUCCCCCAGAA
This 72-nucleotide transfer RNA is filed under the name Caudoviricetes sp. Its description in RNAcentral is "tRNA-Met". It matches the Rfam family "tRNA". From Rfam's summary of the family: Transfer RNA (tRNA) molecules are approximately 80 nucleotides in length. Their secondary structure includes four short double-helical elements and three loops (D, anti-codon, and T loops). Lineage: Duplodnaviria; Heunggongvirae; Uroviricota; Caudoviricetes. The record is from RNAcentral.